GAGUUUGAUCAUGGCUCAGAACGAACGCUGGCGGCAGGCCUCAAACAUGCAAGUCUAGGGGGUGUAGCAAUACAUCACCGGCGGACGGGUGCGUAACACGUGGGAAUAUACCUUUUGGUUCGGAACAACGCAGGGAAACUUGCGCUAAUACCGAAUGUGCCCUUACGGGGAAAGAUUUAUCGCCAAAGGAUUAGCCCGCGUCCGAUUAGCUAGUUGGUGAGGUAAUGGCUCACCAAGGCUCCGAUCGGUAGCUGUUCUGAGAGGAAGAUCAGCCACACUGGGACUGAGACACGGCCCAGACUCCUACGGGAGGCAGCAGUUGGGAAUCUUGCGCAAUGCGCGGAAGCGUGACGCAGCAACGCCGCGUGGGGGAAGAAGGCCUUCGGGUUGUAAACCCCUUUCAGUUGGGACGAAGCUUCGUCGGUGAAUAGCCGGCUGGAGUGACGGUACCUUCAGAAGAAGCCCCGGCUAACUACGUGCCAGCAGCCGCGGUA
This 494-nucleotide ribosomal RNA is filed under the name uncultured bacterium. RNAcentral describes it as "bacterial SSU rRNA". It matches the Rfam family "Bacterial small subunit ribosomal RNA", at positions 9 to 522 of the family's 1533-position model. The record is from RNAcentral.